Molecule: non-coding RNA, 328 nt
Organism: Camelina sativa (false flax)
Lineage: Eukaryota; Viridiplantae; Streptophyta; Magnoliopsida; Brassicales; Brassicaceae
Source: RefSeq, a predicted model, not a curated record
GAGAAUCAAUGGAAAAGAAAGAAGUAACGCAAUUGAAGUUAAAUCUCUGAUGCAAUGCUACCUCAAGCAUAAAAAGAGAAUCACAUAUUUGACUACCUAUAUUGCUUUGAACACUACUGGUGGAGCAACAUGUUCAUGGGGACAGCUUCAACAUUGGGAGAUAGAGCUUCAACAUGUUCCUGCAAAAAGAGGGUGGCAAAUAUAAAAGAAACAAUUUCAAAAAACCAAAAAUGUAAAGAGAGCAACCUUGGCAUAAGACUUUUGAUUCCUCUUGUAGAGCAACCUUGGAAUUACUUCCUCUCUUUGGGAGUAUAAGAACAUCUUUUCU